AACGAACGCUGGCGGCAUGCCUAACACAUGCAAGUCGAACGAGACCUUCGGGUCUAGUGGCGCACGGGUGCGUAACGCGUGGGAACCUGCCCUUAGGUUCGGAAUAACUCCCCGAAAGGGGUGCUAAUACCGGAUAACGUCCUCGGACCAAAGAUUUAUCGCCUUUGGAGGGGCCCGCGUUGGAUUAGCUAGUUGGUAGGGUAAAAGCCUACCAAGGCGACGAUCCAUAGCUGGUCUGAGAGGAUGAUCAGCCACACUGGGACUGAGACACGGCCCAGAAUCCUACGGGAGGCAGCAGAGGGGAAUAUUGGACAAUGGGCGAAAUCAUGAUCCAGCAAUGCCGCGUGAGUGAUGAAGGCCUUAGGGUUGUAAAGCUCUUUUACCCGGGAUGAUAAUGACGGUACCGGGAGAAUAAGCUCCGGCUAACUCCGUG
Molecule: ribosomal RNA, 433 nt
Filed under: uncultured bacterium
Lineage: Bacteria
Description: partial 16S ribosomal RNA
Rfam family: Bacterial small subunit ribosomal RNA
Source: RNAcentral